This 145-nucleotide long non-coding RNA is filed under the name Cyanistes caeruleus (blue tit). RNAcentral describes it as "lncRNA (ENSCCEG00000010227.1)". The record is from RNAcentral. Lineage: Eukaryota; Metazoa; Chordata; Aves; Passeriformes; Paridae.
UCCACCUAGAAUGUGUCUCACCUACAUAAAGCCUCCUGAAGUAUCAUAGCUACUACAAGAUGGGAGAAUUAAAGGAACAGAGCUGUGAAGUUACCUGCUCAAAGUCAUAAAGGAGGCCAAUGAUAAAUCCAGGUGUAUAAGCCAA